UUUUUUAUUUUAAUUCGAAUAUUAAAAAAAACAACAGUAAUUAAAUUAUACACAUGUAUACUAUAUUUUUGAGGUAAAAAUUAAAAAAAAAAAAAAUCGUUGCAAUAAUCCACCUUCCUCGCAACGCGGAAAAUUAUUCCACGUGAAAACAAAAAUUUCAUCGCUAUUUGAAAUCUUGCGGAUUAUUAAAAAAAUAUUAAAACUCUACCUUCCCGAUUAAUCUUGCCAAAAUGAAAAAAAAAAAUAUCACAAUAUUCAAAAAAACAUUCGUAUUCCUAAAAACGUCAAACCAAAUCCCCCUAACGAAUUUCCCCUAAAUUAUCCCCACCCAAUGAAAAACCACCGCGUAUUAAACAACGAAAUGUGAAAAAUCGGCGGUGGAAUAUUCUCUCCACGCGGAGACAGAGACGAAACUCUCGUGAGGAUGAAAUUACAUACGCCUGUUAAUGAAAUCUCGCCAACGUAACACGUUCAAGCGGGCGAGGAAAGAAAAGAAAAUUUCGCUCGCGUAACACGGCUUCUAAUGACGGUUUUAAUCAGCGCAAGGUGGAUAAGCCUCGCGAGAUCUACGGCAGAGGGCAGAGCUAAAAGAGUCAAGAAGAUGGCCGUUAACCGUCCUCCUGCCAAGUUUUAUGGUCGAGCUCGUGCUAAUGCGCUACACUUUGUCGUACGUCGUGCCACGUUGCCCAUUAAUGGAACCUUGGAUUAAGAAAGGGAGGAAGGAGAAGUGUAAAUAUUGCCGGAGCCAACUGGCAGCGGUGAUAAGUGGCCGAAAGAAUUUCUCGUUCGGUUAAGCGGCUGUAAGAAGAAGAGGUUAUGUGUAUCGGCGGAACAAAUAUGGAGACGUCUCGUCGCGCUUCGUCGAGCCUCGGAAAAGGCGAGCCGAGUUUCCAAAGCGCGUGAAGAUAAAUCUUUGGAAGGGAGAGGCGGCCAGGACAGGUGAAACCGCACAGCGCAGCGGCGCGGAGAAAGGUUGGCGGGGAAAAAUGCGCACUCCGGACGAAGAGAAAUGGGGAACGAUCCAGGCCGAUCGUCUAUUAAUCGCGCGAGUAUCUUGAAAACGAAAUCCAGAAAAGGAUUUUGCUCUUUUUUCCCCUUGAAUUUUGAUAUCGAUUAGUUAUAUAUCAAGUGAAUGGUUAGUAUGUGUAGUAAUCCUAAAUCAAUUGAAUAUUUUGGAUAGAAAAUACUUUUUCUCGUGAAUUUUGAUACUGAUAGUUGAUGAACGGUUAGUAACGUAGUUUAUUUGAUUGCGAUUCGAAAUUGGUGUGAAUAUUUUGGAUCGAAUUUUAUUUCAGCAAGCUUUCCUUUUUUUCCUAUGAAUUUUGAUACCGAUACCAAGUUCGUUAUUUAAUCACUAUCCUAAAUUAAUUGAAUAUUUUGGAUCGAGAAUGUUUGAAAAAAUUGAUCUCUUUCUAUACUUUUUCUCAUGAAUUUUGAUACUGAUAAUUGGUGAAUGGUUAGUAGUUUACACGGUUCGUUAUUUAAUCCCAAAUCAAUUAAAAAUUGAAUCUUUUUCUAUACUUUUUUCCCUAAAGUUUGAUAGCAAUCGAUGAACAGAUAGAUUAAUUCACUAGCUAGUUAUUUUAUUUCACGAAGAAAUAACUCACAGAAGAAAUUUUUCUGAUACUCCUCGUUGCCGGCAAACGUGCACGUAUCAUCUCUCGUGUACGUAUUUUCUCGAUGUAAUAGCUUCUGACUAUCCGAACGCCGAUAGUAGGAUAUAUUUCUUUCACGCUCUCUUCCGCACAACGAUUCGUAAAUCGUGAUCGCGCGCAUUACGUGCACCCGACCACAAGAUAUUCCCGUGCUAUCUGAUUUUAUAGCGCUGUUCCCAUUCAAUCUACCGCGAAUUUAAUCGCGUAGCCGCGGUCUUGAUUCGAAGAAAAUUGCAAAGUCGAGGACAAAAAUACGCGAUUCUGAAUCUGAACGCUUUCGUAUCACGUACGCCAUACGUAAAUUGUUAUAUUUAGAGAAAUCGACUCUUUCGAAAAAUCAAAAAUGUUCAAAGAAUAAAGAAAGAGAAAGAAAAGCAAUAUUUCAUAUAAAAUAUAGCAAUUUAAUAGCAGUAAUAGUACUAAUAGUACUAUUGAUUUAAUCUUGUUGUGUUUUAUAUCCUUGGGCGAAAUAUAGUGGAAGGACAAGGCUGAAAGACGUUUAUAAAAUUAAACGUCUUCUAACAUAGAACAUCAACGCGUAUGUGUCUCUCAGGUUUCAUAUAUAUAUGUUCUCAGCCGAGUGAUAAAUGCGGAUCGUAAAACGGCACAAGGAGACGUAAUUAAGAAGGGAGAAGCAGUUGAACCGUGGGAGAAUGCAUCGGUCCUCACAUAAAUCUCCACGAAUUAAAUUGAACUUUUACAAAUCCAUUGUAGCCAUGGCAAAGUUAACCACGAGAAUGGAUCGUGUCUCUUUUCGAGAGAUAACUGGGACGAUUGUAUGUAACCUCGAAUUCGAUUCGAUUCUUCGAGAGGCGUUUAAUUAUUCCGAUUAUAUAUAUUUCUUUCACCAUUAAAUUUUUGGCUCUGGACUCUCUUGAUGUAAACAAAAAUCAAAUGUUUGACUAAUUAUUUCACUUUUGAAAAACUACAUUUCGUUAAAAAUUUCUCGCCGAUAACCAAACAAAUUACACUCGAUGUUAAACAGUCAUUAUUGUCAACCCGCAAACGUCGAACGUCGACUGCUCGCAACGCCAUCUUCUAUUAACGAACGAGCACGGCUCGCGCUUUGCGCGCCACCUGGUCAAUCGAGUCGCGUGUUCCCUCCGGGAAAGAACGGGAUUAUUAGUCUGAUCUCGCCAUUUAUUUCCACCGGCCAUGAAUACGUAAUCGUGAAUUUUGAAGCGGAUGGAUCCAACGAACGAUGAGCCAACGUGUUUGCCAAACUAGUGAUCGUAACUCGAUCGGUCGUGCUUAAUUCCGUGGUCACGUGAAAAUUCCAUCCUUGUCGUCUCUCGUAUCCACUUUCCAAGUGGCGAAACACCGUUAACGCUGAUUUCCUGCUCAAAAUUCCGCAAGCCUCUCUCUCCGUAGUUCGUUAACGAUCCCGCUUUCGCAAGCUUAUCCACUCAAUUCUGAUUUAUUAAGGCACUUCGACCAAAUAUCUCACCCCGAGCGUGGAAUUGCGACGAGUUUGAAAGGUGCCGCGCCCGGAAUCAAAGGGGAAAUUUAAACGAAUUAUCCCGUGUUUCCUAAUGUCCCGAACUUGGACGCUCGUAAUCCUCUUUCAACUGGAUACUUCAAGUCUCUAUUUAUCUUCGCCAGUGGCGCUGUAGAGAAGAACGAAUAUUUUACGCGAAAACGAUCGACGUGAAAAUGACGAGGACUAAGACGAAUCUCUUCCGAAACGAAAAGGAUUCACUACGCAGGGAAGCGAGAGGAGACUGAAAUCCGAAAAUUGGUCUCGACGAGGUGAACAACUUAAACCACCAGGAAGAUUUUGUUUGAUUCGAAUCGAGUGCGGGGAAAGGAGUUGCACCAGACCCGAUUAUUGCGACACGUCUAGCAAUUCCUGGGAAAGCAUCGGUUAAUCCGGUUUCGAUAAUCCUCCUGCCGGAUUCGAGUAGUUUCGACUCGGAAGAGGGGAUAAGAUAAAAGAGAGUGGGGGCACGGGUUUAACCGUUCGCGCUCGGCCCGCCGAUCAAUCUCGCUCAAGAAUUCGAAUCGUGACUCGUGAGAAAAUCGAGGGAUCUGCUCGGAAUUGAUAUAUCGGAUGCUAAUGUACACGCGCUCCGUCUUCGUCCAAAUUGAAUAAUAAUUUAAUAAAUGGAAUAGAGUAGAUAGUUUGUGCAUUAUAUAUUAUAAAUUUAAAUUUCCACGUAUAAUUUAAUAAUCAAACAUGGCGUUAAUUUAUUAAUUAUGAUAUAAAAAUUUAAAUAGUGACAUUUCGUUUACGAAUAAUCAAAGAUACGAUUAAUAAAAUAAUUUAAUUUUUAUAAUGCAUUUCUUUCGAAAUACAUGUUUGAAAAAUCGAAUCGACUCGAAUUAAUUCGAACGAUCUAUCCUUGAUCGAUAUUUUUCUACAUUCUUCGAUUAUUUCUUUUUAAUCUUAAAACAAUCUAAAUAUAUCUUGGCUCCGAGCGAAAAGACAAAAAGGAGGAAAAAUUCGAAAGGAACGAGAUCGAAGAGGAUAUCAAGGUGGAUACAUAAAGUUUCGCGAGUUCAAUACGGUGGCCAACGAUUUGGCCGAUAGCCAAUCUCUUUCCAGUCGGUUUAACUGAAAUAAAGGUUGUCAUAUUGAGAAUUUGUCGAAAGUAAUGUAACUCGCCGAAAGCAGAGGGCGAGAGAGAGAGAGAUGGAAUCUCGUUCCAUCCGUUAUUUUCCAGGAUUAUCGCGGACGAUAAAACUGGUCCGUCAUCGCGGUUGGGAAUAACGAUCGAGGUUGUUAGUCGAUCGCGGUUGUCGAAAAUAACCGCGAGCCUUUUAACCGGACCUCUCCCCUCCCCUCCUCUCCCUCUCUCUCUAUCCCCUCCCAUCCGUAGCCGCGGCGGCGUUGCGCGAUUUCUCUCGUUCGAAAAUUUAUCGCUCGGCUGUGAUUAAUCCGCGGCGAGAACGUAUUUACGAGCGUGCUUCAACGACGCUGUAACCGCGGACGAAUGCGCUGUGCGUUCGAGCGUAUUUUCAAGGUGAACGGACAUUUUUCCAUCGAUCCGACUCGAUUCGAUCCUUCGCCCGAAAUUGCCGCCAUGUUCACGCGUACACCGUUCCUUAUUUUACUGCGAAGAUAUUAUUCGAGGAGGAGUAUUGAGAAUUCGUUGAUAAUUAUUUUUUAUAUAGUUAGUUUAGUAGAGAUGAUAAAUAUUUUGAAUAUUUAUAAAUAAAAUAUUUUGAAGCUCCAUUUAAAAAUAUAUAUGUAUAUAUUUAUUGUAGAGAAAUAUUGAGAAUUUGAUUUAUUUGUAAUAAGGAGACGCAAUUAAUUUUCAAAAAGAUUGUCACGGAUGCUCGCGUUACAUUCCUCCUCCUUUUAUCGACAACUCUAUUUAUUCACUUUCCUCCGUUAAUAGAGGAAAUGGUGGAAAUGUGAAGAGUAGAAUAGAAAAGACACGAAUAGGAAUAAUAUAUAAUGAGAUAUUUAAUUAACCUUGUAAUGCGUUCGUAUAAGUAAAUUAAUUAAAAAAAAUAAUAGAUUGUAAUUUUCAAAGUGGAAUUAAUAAUCUUCUAAUGGAAUAUAUUAUCUCUGUCUUACCUCUUAUCUUGGAAUAAUAAUUUUAAAAUCCUAUGUAAAAAUUA
This is a long non-coding RNA of Apis mellifera (honey bee), 5222 nucleotides long. RefSeq lists it as uncharacterized. The transcript has 4 exons. NCBI's taxonomy places the organism in Eukaryota, Metazoa, Arthropoda, Insecta, Hymenoptera, Apidae. The record is from RefSeq and is a predicted model, not a curated record.